RNAcentral lists this microRNA precursor (132 nucleotides) under Gossypium hirsutum (cotton). Its description in RNAcentral is "MIR7502 microRNA precursor family". It matches the Rfam family "MIR7502 microRNA precursor family". The record is from Rfam by way of RNAcentral. Lineage: Eukaryota; Viridiplantae; Streptophyta; Magnoliopsida; Malvales; Malvaceae.
UGUUAAAAGUUUCAUCUAUUUCUACUAUUAAAAAUUAGCGUAGCUGUCGAAAUAGCCAGUUAUAUGUGGCAUGCCACAUUUAAAUCAUACUAAUGUAUAGGGAUACUGUAAAAAUGGAUGGAAUUUUCAAUA